This 649-nucleotide long non-coding RNA is filed under the name Rattus norvegicus (Norway rat). Its description in RNAcentral is "long non-coding RNA NONRATT020485". The record is from RNAcentral. Lineage: Eukaryota; Metazoa; Chordata; Mammalia; Rodentia; Muridae.
UGGGGUACCGGAUGAUUCCUGUGUGCAUGAGAACUUCACUAGAAUGUCAUUAAACAGCCCAACUACCUCAAGUGAAAUUGGCUGUGGACAAUCUGUGUUUGAUGAGAAAUGUGUUUGGAGAAACUUAUUCUGGUUAAUAAGUUGAAUAGUGCAGUGUCUCUAUGAAGAAGAAACAUGUUAUACCAGAUGCCAAAGGCUAAACUAUACAUAAAUUCUCUCAGAUCCAUUUCUAUGUUAAUGUUUAAUUCCUCAGUCUGUAUCCUCAUGAACAUUUGUAGCUUUGUAGAGCCAUGUGCUUUGGGUAUCUGUCACAGAAUCACCUCUUGUCCCUCAGUAUUUUGAAUGAACAUCAUAAUGCUGAUAGGAACUAAGUUAAACUACGAAAGUGUCAAACAACUUGUGGCUUCUUAAUUUAAUGGACCUUUACUUAGAAAUGUAUUGGAGCCUUUUAGGACCAAUUGUUGAGUGAAAAUCUUGUGUGCAAACGUGUCUGCUUUUCUGUCCAAGUUGUUAUUCCUGUAUUUCAUGAACAGUGGGGCAGGGGUAAGGGUUUUACUUUCUUUGGAGAAUGUUUGAAAACAUCUGUCAGAUUUUUAUAUUCAUUAGUUACAAUAAACAUAUUUUUAGAGUAUUUUAUUAAAUGUUCUUC